GACGAACCGUGCGAACGUUAUUCGGAAUCACUGGGCUUAAAGCGCGUGUAGGCGGGUCGGCACGUCGGUCGCUGAAAUCCCCCGGCUCAACCGGGGAAGCGGCGCCGAUACGGCCGGCCUCGAGGGACGUAGGGGGGGCUGGAACUUCCGGUGGAGCGGUGAAAUGCGUUGAGAUCGGAAGGAACGCCCGUGGCGAAAGCGAAUCUCUGGGCAGCAGCUGACGCUGAGGCACGAAGGCCAGGGGAGCAAACGGG
Molecule: ribosomal RNA, 254 nt
Filed under: uncultured bacterium
Lineage: Bacteria
Description: partial 16S ribosomal RNA
Rfam family: Bacterial small subunit ribosomal RNA
Source: RNAcentral